GGAGUUUGGUCCGUGUCUCAGUACCAAUGUGGGGGACCUUCCUCUCAGAACCCCUACUGAUCGUCGCCUUGGUGGGCCGUUACCCCGCCAACCGGCUAAUCAGACGCAUCCCCAUCCCUUACCGAUGAAUCUUUGCUCCUCGUUAGAUGCCCGCAAAGGAGAACAUAGGGCAUUAAUCCGACUUUCGCCGGGCUAUUCCCUAGUAAGGGGAAGGUUGGAUACGCGUUACUCACCCGUGCGCCGGUCGCCAUCAACAAAAGCAAGCUUUCGUCAUGAUGCCCCUCGACUUGCAUGUGUUAAGCCUGUAGCUAGCGUUCAUC
This 320-nucleotide ribosomal RNA is filed under the name uncultured Prevotella sp. Its description in RNAcentral is "partial 16S ribosomal RNA". The record is from RNAcentral. Lineage: Bacteria; Pseudomonadati; Bacteroidota; Bacteroidia; Bacteroidales; Prevotellaceae.